This 464-nucleotide ribosomal RNA is filed under the name uncultured bacterium. RNAcentral describes it as "bacterial SSU rRNA". It matches the Rfam family "Bacterial small subunit ribosomal RNA", at positions 30 to 524 of the family's 1533-position model. The record is from RNAcentral.
AUUGAACGCUGGCGGCAGGCUUAACACAUGCAAGUCGAGCGGAGACUUCGGUCUUAGCGGCGAACGGGUGAGGAAUGCCUGGGAAUCUGCCUGGUAGUGGGGGGAUAACGUUCCGAAAGGAACGCUAAUACCGCAUACGUCCUACGGGAGAAAGCAGGGGACCUUCGGGCCUUGCGCUAUCAGAUGAGCCCAGGUCGGAUUAGCUAGUAGGUGAGGUAAAGGCUCACCUAGGCGACGAUCCGUAGCUGGUCUGAGAGGAUGAUCAGCCACACUGGAACUGAGACACGGUCCAGACUCCUACGGGAGGCAGCAGUGGGGAAUAUUGGACAAUGGGCGAAAGCCUGAUCCAGCCAUGCCGCGUGUGUGAUGAAGGCCUUAGGGUUGUAAAGCUCUUUUGCCAGGGAAGAUGAUGACUGUACCUGGAGAAUAAGCCCGGCUAACUUCGUGCCAGCAGCCGCGGUAAU